Molecule: ribosomal RNA, 353 nt
Filed under: Bacteroidales bacterium
Lineage: Bacteria; Pseudomonadati; Bacteroidota; Bacteroidia; Bacteroidales
Description: bacterial SSU rRNA
Rfam family: Bacterial small subunit ribosomal RNA
Source: RNAcentral
AACAGCGGAGAGUUUGAUCCUGGCUCAGGAUGAACGCUAGCGGCAGGCUUAACACAUGCAAGUCGAGCGGCAGCGGGGGAGGAGCUUGCUCCUCCCGCCGGCGAGCGGCGCACGGGUGAGUAACACGUAUGCAACCUGCCUCUGUCAGGGGGACAACCCGCCGAAAGGCGGGCUAAUCCCGCGUAUAUCCCCGGAGGGCAUCCUCCGGGGAGGAAAGGCUUCAAGCCGGACAGAGAUGGGCAUGCGGCGCAUUAGGCAGACGGCGGGGUAACGGCCCACCGUACCGACGAUGCGUAGGGGUUCUGAGAGGAAGGCCCCCCACACUGGUACUGAGACACGGACCAGACUCCUAC